AAGUCGUAACAAGGUCUCCGUUGGUGAACCAGCGGAGGGAUCAUUAACGAGUUUAUCCAACUCCCAAACCCUAUGUGAACCUUACCACUUGUUGCUUCGGCGGAGUCGCGCCGGUGCCGCCUAGGCGGCCCGGGACCACGCGCCCGCCGGAGACCAAAAACUCUUGAUUUUGCGAAAGCAGUAUUUUUCUGAGUGGCCGAAAGGCAAAAACAAAUGAAUCAAAACUUUCAACAACGGAUCUCUUGGUUCUGGCAUCGAUGAAGAACGCAGCAAAAUGCGAUAAGUAAUGUGAAUUGCAGAAUUCAGUGAAUCAUCGAAUCUUUGAACGCACAUUGCGCCCGCCAGCAUUCUGGCGGGCAUGCCUGUUCGAGCGUCAUUUCAACCCUCGAUCCCAGCCUUUGCGGGCUGCGGACCGGUGUUGGGGCGCGGCGGAGACUCUUGUCUGCGCCGGCUCCGAAAUUCAGUGGCGGCCCGUUGCGGCGACCUCUGCGUAGUAACUUAACCUCGCACUGGGACAGCAGCGCGGCCACGCCGUAAAACCCCCGACUUUUUUAAGGUUGACCUCGAAUCAGGUAGGACUACCCGCUGAACUUAAGCAUAUCAAUAAGCGGAGGAAAAGAAACCAACAGGGAUUGCCCCAGUAACGGCGAGUGAAGCGGCAACAGCUCAAAUUUGAAAUCUGGCUCCUAGAGCCCGAGUUGUAAUUUGUAGAGGAUGCUUUUGAUGCGGUGCCUUCCGAGUUCCCUGGAACGGGACGCCAUAGAGGGUGAGAGCCCCGUCUGGUCGGAUGCCAAAUCUCUGUAAAGCUCCUUCGACGAGUCGAGUAGUUUGGGAAUGCUGCUCUAAAUGGGAGGUAUAUGUCUUCUAAAGCUAAAUAUUGGCCAGAGACCGAUAGCGCACAAGUAGAGUGAUCGAAAGAUGAAAAGCACUUUGAAAAGAGGGUUAAAAAGUACGUGAAAUUGUUGAAAGGGAAGCGUCUAUGACCAGACUUGGGCCCGGUGAAUCAUCCAGCGUUCUCGCUGGUGCACUUUGCCGGGCACAGGCCAGCAUCAGUUUGUCUUGGGGGAUAAAGGCUUUGGGAACGUGGCUCCUUCGGGAGUGUUAUAGACCAUUGCAUAAUACCCUGGGACGGACUGAGGUUCGCGCAUCUGCAAGGAUGCUGGCGUAAUGGUCAUCAGCGACC
RNAcentral lists this ribosomal RNA (1183 nucleotides) under uncultured fungus. RNAcentral describes it as "eukaryotic LSU rRNA". The stretch from base 559 to 1183 matches the Rfam family "Eukaryotic large subunit ribosomal RNA", at positions 1 to 649 of the family's 3401-position model. Lineage: Eukaryota; Fungi. The record is from RNAcentral.